Molecule: unclassified non-coding RNA, 302 nt
Organism: Vombatus ursinus (common wombat)
Lineage: Eukaryota; Metazoa; Chordata; Mammalia; Diprotodontia; Vombatidae
Rfam family: Metazoan signal recognition particle RNA
About the family: The signal recognition particle (SRP) is a universally conserved ribonucleoprotein. It is involved in the co-translational targeting of proteins to membranes.
Source: Ensembl
UCUGGGGUUGGUGGUGCACACCUGAAAUUUCUGCUACCAGGGAGGCUGAGAUUGGUGGAUUGCUUGAGUAUAAGAGUUCUGAGCUGCGAUAGGUCAAAGCCAACUGAGCCUCUCUACUACAUCUGGCACUAGUAUAGUGAGCCCCCAGGAAGAGUGGUCACCAGGAUGCCUAAGGAAUUGGGUGGACUGACCCAGGUCUGAAAUGGAGUACAUCAAAGCUUCUCUGCCAGUUGGUAGUGGGAUUUGCCUAUGAGGAGGCAAUGUGCUUCCAGCCUGGGCAAGAUAGAGACACCCAGUCUCAA